UACGGAGGGGGCUAGCGUUGUUCGGAAUUACUGGGCGUAAAGCGCGCGUAGGCGGACCUGCAAGUCAGGGGUGAAAGCCCGAGGCUCAACCUCGGAACUGCCUUCGAUACUGCGGGUCUCGAGUCCGGGAGAGGUGAGUGGAAUUCCUAGUGUAGAGGUGAAAUUCGUAGAUAUUAGGAAGAACACCAGUGGCGAAGGCGGCUCACUGGCCCGGUACUGACGCUGAGGCGCGAAAGCGUGGGGAGCAAACAGGAU
This 255-nucleotide ribosomal RNA is filed under the name uncultured bacterium. RNAcentral's name for it is "partial 16S ribosomal RNA". It matches the Rfam family "Bacterial small subunit ribosomal RNA", at positions 524 to 778 of the family's 1533-position model. The record is from RNAcentral.